UUUUAGUUUAGUGGCGGACGGGUGAGUAACGCGUGGACAACCUGCCUUCACAGGGGGAGUAGCAGCUGGAAACGGCUGGUAAUACCGCAUACGCUCGUGUCACCGCAUGGUGAUAUGAGGAAAGAUUUAUCGGUGAAAGAUGGAUCCGCGUCUGAUUAGCCAGUUGGCGGGUAACGGCCCACCAAAGCGACGAUCAGUAGCCGGCCUGAGAGGGCGGACGGCCACAUUGGGACUGAGACACGGCCCAGACUCCUACGGGAGGCAGCAGUGGGGGAUAUUGCACAAUGGGCGCAAGCCUGAUGCAGCGAACCGCCGCGUGAGUGAAGAAGUAUUUCGGUAUGUAAAGCUCUAUCAGCAGGGAAGAAAGGCCCGCAAGGGAGAUGACGGUACCUGACUAAGAAGCCCCGGCUAACUACGUGCCAGCCGCCGC
Molecule: ribosomal RNA, 430 nt
Filed under: uncultured bacterium
Lineage: Bacteria
Description: bacterial SSU rRNA
Rfam family: Bacterial small subunit ribosomal RNA
Source: RNAcentral